GACGAACGCUGGCGGCGUGCUUAACACAUGCAAGUCGAACGGAAAGGCCCCUUUGGGGGUACUCGAGUGGCGAACGGGUGAGUAACACGUGAGUAACCUGCCCUUGACUUCGGGAUAACUUCAGGAAACUGGGGCUAAUACCGGAUAGGAAUCCUUGCUGCAUGGUGGGGGGUGGAAAGCUUCGGCGGUUUUGGAUGGACUCGCGGCUUAUCAGCUUGUUGGUGGGGUAGUGGCUUACCAAGGCUUUGACGGGUAGCCGGCCUGAGAGGGCGACCGGCCACAUUGGGACUGGGAUCCGGCCCAGACUCCUACGGGAGGCAGCAGGGGGGAAUAUUGCACCAUGGGCGGAAGCCUGAUGCAGCAACGCCGCGUGCGGGAUGACGGCCUUCGGGUUGUAAACCGCUUUCAGCAGGGGCGAAGCUUGUGGUGACGGUACCUGCAGAAGAAGCACCGGCUAACUACGUG
Molecule: ribosomal RNA, 465 nt
Filed under: uncultured bacterium
Lineage: Bacteria
Description: partial 16S ribosomal RNA
Rfam family: Bacterial small subunit ribosomal RNA
Source: RNAcentral